CAGGGCCCAGGGAACCAUGCACCUGUGUCCACAACUUUUCCCAGCCAACUCCUGCAAGGCUCAGCGUGUCUGCUCCCUCCACAUCGCUGUCUGAGUGGCCAUGAGCACAUCCCGUGUGCCGCACUAAGUGCCAAGCCCAACAACCAAGGGCACCUACCACAGGGGUGACAACCUGCCACUCAACGAGAGACUUCAAGUCCUUCCCAGGACGGCUCACAGCAGGCAUGCAAACCUAUGAUGAGGUUCAAUUUGUAAUCAGACACAGUGAAAGAUUAGCAAU
This is a long non-coding RNA of Urocitellus parryii (Arctic ground squirrel), 280 nucleotides long. RefSeq lists it as uncharacterized. NCBI's taxonomy places the organism in Eukaryota, Metazoa, Chordata, Mammalia, Rodentia, Sciuridae. The record is from RefSeq and is a predicted model, not a curated record.